GACGAACGCUGGCGGCGUGCUUAACACAUGCAAGUCGAACGGAAAGGCCCUGCUUUUGUGGGGUGCUCGAGUGGCGAACGGGUGAGUAACACGUGAGUAACCUGCCCUUGACUUUGGGAUAACUUCAGGAAACUGGGGCUAAUACCGGAUAGGAGCUCCUGCUGCAUGGUGGGGGUUGGAAAGUUUCGGCGGUUGGGGAUGGACUCGCGGCUUAUCAGCUUGUUGGUGGGGUAGUGGCUUACCAAGGCUUUGACGGGUAGCCGGCCUGAGAGGGUGACCGGCAACAGUGGGACUGAGAUACGGCCCAGACUCCUACGGGAGGCAGCAGUGGGGAAUAUUGCACAAUGGGCGGAAGCCUGAUGCAGCAACGCCGCGUGCGGGAUGACGGCCUUCGGGUUGUAAACCGCUUUCGCCUGUGACGAAGCGUGAGUGACGGUAAUGGGUAAAGAAGCACCGGCUAACUACGU
This 467-nucleotide ribosomal RNA is filed under the name uncultured bacterium. RNAcentral describes it as "partial 16S ribosomal RNA". It matches the Rfam family "Bacterial small subunit ribosomal RNA", at positions 28 to 506 of the family's 1533-position model. The record is from RNAcentral.